GAAGCCUGCCCUCUCGCCCUGGUCUGCCUUGCGGCUCGCCGGAACGAGGGGUCGAGGUUCGAACCAAACCCGCAGCCACCGCCGAAUCGGAGGUGGGUCACGAAAUCCGGUUUUCACCCGUCUGUGCAGGAGAUUAAGCGAAGCCGUUUCCACGAGGGAUCAGGCCAGGCACCUGCAGUCUUGGACAGGAUCGGAGAGUUCCCCGGGUUUGACACCAGAGAUAGCCCCUGCCCAUUUUCUUCUUUCAAAACAAAGGCUUUCCGUUCCU
Molecule: unclassified non-coding RNA, 268 nt
Filed under: Hevea brasiliensis (rubber tree)
Lineage: Eukaryota; Viridiplantae; Streptophyta; Magnoliopsida; Malpighiales; Euphorbiaceae
Source: RNAcentral